GGUCAAUGAUGUGUUGGCAUGUAUUAACUGAAAUCACUGCUGAUGUGAUAACAAUUUAGCUCUAGAAUUACGCUGAGACCUU
Molecule: small nucleolar RNA, 82 nt
Organism: Ochotona princeps (American pika)
Lineage: Eukaryota; Metazoa; Chordata; Mammalia; Lagomorpha; Ochotonidae
Source: Ensembl